GGGAACUGCGUUNUAAACUGGGUAGCUAGAGUAUGUCAGAGGGGGGUAGAAUUNCACGUGUAGCAGUGAAAUGCGUAGAGAUGUGGAGGAAUACCGAUGGCGAAGGCAGCCCCCUGGGAUAAUACUGACGUUCAUGCUCGAAAGCGUGGGUAGCAAACAGGAUUAGAUACCCUGGUAGUCCACGCCCUAAACGAUGUCGAUUAGCUGUUGGGCAACUUGAUUGCUUAGUAGCGUAGCUAACGCGUGAAAUCGACCGCCUGGGGAGUACGGUCGCAAGAUUAAAACUCAAAGGAAUUGACGGGGACCCGCACAAGCGGUGGAUGAUGUGGAUUAAUUCGAUGCAUCGCGAAGAACCUUACCUGGUCUUGACAUGUACGGAAGAACUCAGAGACGAGUUUGUGCCUUCGGGAGCCGUAACACAGGUGCUGCAUGGCUGUCGUCAGCUCGUGUCGUGAGAUGUUGGGUUAAGUCCCGCAACGAGCGCAACCCUUGUCAUUAGUUGCCAUCACUUAGUUGGGCACUCUAAUGAGACUGCCGGUGACAAACCGGAGGAAGGUGGGGAUGACGUCAAGUCCUCAUGGCCCUUAUGACCAGGGCUUCACACGUCAUACAAUGGUCGGUACAGAGGGUAGCCAAGCCGCGAGGUGGAGCCAAUCCCAGAAAACCGAUCGUAGUCCGGAUUGCACUCUGCAACUCGAGUGCAUGAAGUCGGAAUCGCUAGUAAUCGCAGGUCAGCAUACUGCGGUGAAUACGUUCCCGGGUCUUGUACACACCGCCCGUCACACCAUGGGAGUGGGGGAUACCAGAAGUAGGUAGGGUAACCGCAAGGAGCCCG
This 835-nucleotide ribosomal RNA is filed under the name uncultured bacterium. Its description in RNAcentral is "bacterial SSU rRNA". It matches the Rfam family "Bacterial small subunit ribosomal RNA", at positions 616 to 1452 of the family's 1533-position model. The record is from RNAcentral.